GUUCCUGUAGUUGAAGUACAACAGUGGUUUUUCAGACCACCAGUUUUGGUUAGAAUCCGGACAGGAACU
RNAcentral lists this transfer RNA (69 nucleotides) under Eopsetta jordani (Petrale sole). RNAcentral's name for it is "tRNA-Glu". It matches the Rfam family "tRNA". Rfam says of the family: Transfer RNA (tRNA) molecules are approximately 80 nucleotides in length. Their secondary structure includes four short double-helical elements and three loops (D, anti-codon, and T loops). Further hydrogen bonds mediate the characteristic L-shaped molecular structure. tRNAs have two regions of fundamental functional importance: the anti-codon, which is responsible for specific mRNA codon recognition, and the 3' end, to which the tRNAs corresponding amino acid is attached (by aminoacyl-tRNA synthetases). tRNAs cope with the degeneracy of the genetic code in two manners: having more than one tRNA (with a specific anti-codon) for a particular amino acid; and 'wobble' base-pairing, i.e. permitting non-standard base-pairing at the 3rd anti-codon position. Lineage: Eukaryota; Metazoa; Chordata; Actinopteri; Pleuronectiformes; Pleuronectidae. The record is from RNAcentral.